Long non-coding RNA from Haliotis rufescens (red abalone), 296 nucleotides. RefSeq lists it as uncharacterized. Lineage: Eukaryota; Metazoa; Mollusca; Gastropoda; Lepetellida; Haliotidae. The record is from RefSeq and is a predicted model, not a curated record. The transcript has 3 exons.
CCUUUGAUUGAAAAGCGGAACAAGUGCAGCGACACCAAGGGGAGGAUCCGGGAACCAGUCUAGUGUGACUGGCAACAAAAUACGACAAAUUACGUCAUAGGAAGGGAGACACGGGUGACCCAGUCGUCUAGGUGCCGCAGUUCACUGUAGAGAAAUGCAUACCAGAAACCCAACAUCGUGGGCUCCAAUCCCAGAUUCGUCCUGAUCAUAUUUCCAGGACACAUUCAAACAACUUGAACCUAACGAUGACCUACAGGAUCAGGGACAGGAAGAGUCUUUUGGGAGACGGGGGCCUG